AGCAUCUCUUGUUUCCACCAUUUAUAAUGCUCAUUAACUGUCUCUCCUUCAAUGGAAUAAUAAGAUAGGCUGUUUUCUUCCUUUUGUUUUCUUUUGCUGAUUUUCCAUCAUUUAGCACAACCAUGAAGCAAUUGCUUUUAAACUUUCCAAGGGGGAGCUUGUCUAUUUAAAAAACUGAUCAUUUGGGGGUUUUAUUUUGGACUACUUUGUUUUUAACUUUUACAAAAACAAUCUCCUUUCUCAUUGCCGUUCCCCAAAUCUUUCUGCUCAUUGCUCACUUACAUAAAACAGCAGUCUCUUUAGUGGCUCAGAAUUCUGAAUUGCCACUGUAGAUCGAGUCCUGUAGUGAUCCACAUAUCAUGGGUUGUGGUCAUAUCCCACUAAAAUUACUGCAGGCCCUUCCAAAUAGAGGGGUCUGCCAGCACAACAGAAUGAGAUGGUGCCAAGAGACUAUCUUUUCUUUCCUCUAGCCCGCACUAAAAGUGUAUCAGCAUAGUAAGCAUGCUGAAUACAUGUAUCAGAAGAAGAGCAGCUCUUAGCUUGUGAGUUACUACAGCCAUCAGCUGGCAAAGGAAAUGACAUGCUCCUUUGGAACUGUUGGCCUCUUACGCUCCUUUAACUGAGCUUCCAGAAGCUUAAAGAGAAGAGCAGGCAGAUGUUGACUUGAUCAUCUCAGCCUGAACGUGAUGUUAAAACAUCUGCCCUUGGAUAAAGCAGAGGGAACAGAGACAGAUGGAGGAUCAGCUAAAAGAACUGCAAAACCAGGGGCUGUUGCACUCCGGGAGCACAGACGGGGCCUGCCGGCCGCAGCGAUACACAGAGAUCAGUCACGUCACGUUGGAAGAGGCAGGAAA
RNAcentral lists this long non-coding RNA (854 nucleotides) under Dromaius novaehollandiae (emu). Its description in RNAcentral is "lncRNA (ENSDNVG00000001923.1)". The record is from RNAcentral. Lineage: Eukaryota; Metazoa; Chordata; Aves; Casuariiformes; Dromaiidae.